UACAGAGGUGGCAAGCGUUGUUCGGAAUCACUGGGCUUAAAGGGCGCGCAGGCGGCCGAAAGGGUGUCUUGUGAAAUCUCCCGGCUUAACCGGGGAACUGCGAGGCAAACCGUUCGGCUUGAGGCAGGUAGAGGUUGAUGGAACUCUGGGUGGAGCGGUGAAAUGCGUAGAUAUCCAGGGGAACGCCAAUGGUGAAAACAGUCAACUGGGCCUGUCCUGACGCUGAGGCGCGAAAGCCAGGGGAG
This 245-nucleotide ribosomal RNA is filed under the name uncultured bacterium. RNAcentral's name for it is "partial 16S ribosomal RNA". It matches the Rfam family "Bacterial small subunit ribosomal RNA", at positions 524 to 768 of the family's 1533-position model. The record is from RNAcentral.